This 440-nucleotide ribosomal RNA is filed under the name uncultured bacterium. RNAcentral describes it as "partial 16S ribosomal RNA". It matches the Rfam family "Bacterial small subunit ribosomal RNA", at positions 339 to 795 of the family's 1533-position model. The record is from RNAcentral.
CUACGGGGUGCACCAGUGGGGAAUCUUGGACAAUGGGCGCAAGCCUGAUCCAGCCAUGCCGCGUGAGUGAAGAAGGCCUUAGGGUCGUAAAGCUCUUUCGCCAGAGAUGAUAAUGACAGUAUCUGGUAAAGAAACCCCGGCUAACUCCGUGGCCAGCAGCCGCGGUAAUACGGAGGGGGUUAGCGUUGUUCGGAAUUACUGGGCGUAAAGCGCGCGUAGGCGGAUUAGUCAGUCAGAGGUGAAAUCCCAGGGCUCAACCCUGGAACUGCCUUUGAUACUGCUAGUCUUGAGUUCGAGAGAGGUGAGUGGAAUUCCGAGUGUAGAGGUGAAAUUCGUAGAUAUUCGGAGGAACACCAGUGGCGAAGGCGGCUCACUGGCUCGAUACUGACGCUGAGGUGCGAAAGUGUGGGGAGCAAACAGGAUUAGAUACCCCUGUAGUC